UAUAUUUUGGUGUAAAAGCACGUAGAAAUUUGAAUUCUGAAGAAAUAGUUUUCUAUUAAUUAUAA
This 65-nucleotide transfer RNA is filed under the name Brachycybe lecontii. RNAcentral's name for it is "tRNA-Gln". Lineage: Eukaryota; Metazoa; Arthropoda; Diplopoda; Playtdesmida; Andrognathidae. The record is from RNAcentral.